GAAGUUCGCCAGGCAACCGCUGAUCACGCAAGUGGUUGGAGGAAAGUCCGGGCCCCACAGGGCAAGAUGCCGGUUAACGACCGGGCACCGCGAGGUGACAGACAGUGCAACAGAAAGAUACCGCCUAAGCCCGACUUUGACGCCGCAAGGCGGCAAAGUCCUUUUCUGAAGAGCAGCUCGCUGCGAUGAAGGAAAGAAAGGGCCGGUAAGGGUGAAAUGGCGGGGUAAGAGCCCACCGCGUUUCUGGUAACAGAAACGGCACGGCAAACCUCAUCUGGGGCAAGGCCAAAUAGGGGAGCACUGGCGUGGCCCGCGUCGCUCCCGGGUAGGCUGCUAGAGGCCGCUGGCAACAGCGGUCCCAGAGGAAUGGUUGCCCACGACAGAACCCGGCUUAUCGGCGGACUUCCCAC
Molecule: RNase P RNA, 410 nt
Filed under: Sulfuritalea sp.
Lineage: Bacteria; Pseudomonadati; Pseudomonadota; Betaproteobacteria; Nitrosomonadales; Sterolibacteriaceae
Description: RNase P RNA component class A
Rfam family: Bacterial RNase P class A
About the family: Ribonuclease P (RNase P) is a ubiquitous endoribonuclease, found in archaea, bacteria and eukarya as well as chloroplasts and mitochondria. Its best characterised activity is the generation of mature 5'-ends of tRNAs by cleaving the 5'-leader elements of precursor-tRNAs.
Source: RNAcentral